This 895-nucleotide ribosomal RNA is filed under the name uncultured bacterium. RNAcentral's name for it is "bacterial SSU rRNA". It matches the Rfam family "Bacterial small subunit ribosomal RNA", at positions 73 to 985 of the family's 1533-position model. The record is from RNAcentral.
CGGAUGGAAGCAAUAAACCUUAGCGGCGGACGGGUGAGUAACGCGUGGGUAACCUGCCUCAUACAGGGGGAUAACAGUUAGAAAUGACUGCUAAAACCGCAUAAGCGCACAUUGUCGAGUGACAGAGUGUGAAAAACUCCGGUGGUAUGAGAUGGACCCGCGUCUGAUUAGCUAGUUGGUGAGGUAACGGCCCACCAAGGCGACGAUCAGUAGCCGGCCUGAGAGGGCGACCGGCCACAUUGGGACUGAGACACGGCCCAAACUCCUACGGGAGGCAGCAGUGGGGAAUAUUGCACAAUGGGGGAAACCCUGAUGCAGCGACGCCGCGUGAGUGAAGAAGUAUUUCGGUAUGUAAAGCUCUAUCAGCAGGGAAGAAGAAAGACGGUACCUGACUAAGAAGCCCCGGCUAACUACGUGCCAGCAGCCGCGGUAAUACGUAGGGGGCAAGCGUUAUCCGGAUUUACUGGGUGUAAAGGGAGCGUAGACGGCUGUGCAAGUCUGAAGUGAAAGCCCAGGGCUCAACCCUGGGACUGCUUUGGAAACUGUGGAGCUAGAGUGCUGGAGAGGUAAGUGGAAUUCCUAGUGUAGCGGUGAAAUGCGUAGAUAUUAGGAGGAACACCAGUGGCGAAGGCGGCUUACUGGACAGUAACUGACGUUGAGGCUCGAAAGCGUGGGGAGCAAACAGGAUUAGAUACCCUGGUAGUCCACGCGGUAAACGAUGAAUACUAGGUGUUGGAGAGCAAAGCUUUUCGGUGCCGUCGCAAACGCAAUAAGUAUUCCACCUGGGGAGUACGUUCGCAAGAACGAAACUCAAAGGAAUUGACGGGGACCCGCACAAGCGGUGGAGCAUGUGGUUUAAUUCGAAAGCACGCGAAGAACCUUACCAAGUCUUGAC